UGAGGAAUAUUGGUCAAUGGGCGCAAGCCUGAACCAGCCAUCCCGCGUGAAGGAAGAAUGCGCUACGCGUUGUAAACUUCUUUUCCAGGGGGAGAAUUUUCCUGUCGAGACAGGGAUUGACGGUACCCUGGGAAUAAGCAUCGGCUAACUCCGCGCCAGCAGCCGCGGUAAUACGGACGAUGCGAGCGUUAUCCGGUUUCAUUGGGUUUAAAGGGUGCGUAGGCGGAUUGAUAAGUCAGUGGUGAAAUUCUGCAGCUUAACUGUAGACUUGCCGUUGAUACUGUUAGUCUUGAGUGUGGUCGAGGCAGGCAGAAUGUGUAAUGUAGCGGUGAAAUGCUUAGAUAUUACACAGAACACCGAUUGCGAAGGCAGCUUGCUAAGUCAUUACUGACGCCGAUGCACGAAAGCGUGGGGAUCAAACAG
Molecule: ribosomal RNA, 423 nt
Filed under: uncultured bacterium
Lineage: Bacteria
Description: bacterial SSU rRNA
Rfam family: Bacterial small subunit ribosomal RNA
Source: RNAcentral